ACACUCCUGCGGGAGGCAGCAGUGGGGAAUAUUGGACAAUGGGCGCAAGCCUGAUCCAGCCAUGCCGCGUGAGUGAUGAAGGCCCUAGGGUUGUAAAGCUCUUUCACCGGUGAAGAUAAUGACGGUAACCGGAGAAGAAGCCCCGGCUAACUUCGUGCCAGCAGCCGCGGUAAUACGAAGGGGGCUAGCGUUGUUCGGAUUUACUGGGCGUAAAGCGCACGUAGGCGGACUAUUAAGUCAGGGGUGAAAUCCCGGGGCUCAACCCCAGAACUGCCUUUGAUACUGGUAGUCUUGAGUUCGAGAGAGGUGAGUGGAAUUCCGAGUGUAGAGGUGAAAUUCGUAGAUAUUCGGAGGAACACCAGUGGCGAAGGCGGCUCACUGGCUCGAUACUGACGCUGAGGUGCGAAAGCGUGGGGAGCAAACAGGAUUAGAAACCCCUGUAGUCCAUGA
RNAcentral lists this ribosomal RNA (450 nucleotides) under uncultured organism. RNAcentral's name for it is "partial 16S ribosomal RNA". It matches the Rfam family "Bacterial small subunit ribosomal RNA", at positions 333 to 800 of the family's 1533-position model. The record is from RNAcentral.